AUUGAACGCUGGCGGCAUGCUUUACACAUGCAAGUCGAACGGUAACAGGGAGCUUGCUCCGCUGACGAGUGGCGAACGGGUGAGUAAUAUAUCGGAACGUACCCAAGAGUGGGGGAUAACGUAGCGAAAGUUACGCUAAUACCGCAUACGAUCCAAGGAUGAAAGCAGGGGAUCUUCGGACCUUGUGCUCCUGGAGCGGCCGAUAUCUGAUUAGCUAGUUGGUGAGGUAAAGGCUCACCAAGGCGACGACCAGUAGCUGGUCUGAGAGGACGACCAGCCACACUGGAACUGAGACACGGUCCAGACUCCUACGGGAGGCAGCAGUGGGGAAUUUUGGACAAUGGGCGCAAGCCUGAUCCAGCAAUGCCGCGUGAGUGAAGAAGGCCUUCGGGUUGUAAAGCUCUUUUGUCAGGGAAGAAAUGGGAGUGGCUAAUAUCCAUUCCUAAUGACGGUACCUGAAGAAUAAGCACCGGCUAACUACGUGCCAGCAGCCGCAGUAA
RNAcentral lists this ribosomal RNA (500 nucleotides) under uncultured bacterium. Its description in RNAcentral is "partial 16S ribosomal RNA". It matches the Rfam family "Bacterial small subunit ribosomal RNA", at positions 30 to 523 of the family's 1533-position model. The record is from RNAcentral.